UUCGCAAUGCCCGAAAGGGUGACGAAGCGACGCCGCGUGGGUGAGGAAGGCCUUCGGGUUGUAAAGCCCUGUCAGGAGUUAAGAAAUGUAGACUCGCUAAUAUCGGGUCUAUUUGACAAAGGCUCCAAAGGAAGCCACGGCUAACUCUGUGCCAGCAGCCGCGGUAAUACAGAGGUGGCAAGCGUUGUUCGGAAUUAUUGGGCGUAAAGAGCACGUAGGUGGAUUUGUAAGUCAGACGCGAAAGCCUUCUGUUCAACGGAAGAAUUGCAUCUGAAACUACAAACCUUGAGUGUAGGAGGGGAGAAUGGAACUUCUGGUGGAGCGGUGAAAUGCGUAGAUAUCAGAAGGAACGCCGGCGGCGAAAGCGAUUCUCUGGCCUAUUACUGACACUCAGUGUGCGAAAGCUAGGGGAGCAAACGGGAUUAGAUACCCCGGUAGUCCUAGCCGUAAACGAUGGGCACUAAGUAGAGGGGUUUU
RNAcentral lists this ribosomal RNA (477 nucleotides) under Candidatus Scalindua brodae. RNAcentral describes it as "bacterial SSU rRNA". It matches the Rfam family "Bacterial small subunit ribosomal RNA", at positions 365 to 832 of the family's 1533-position model. Lineage: Bacteria; Pseudomonadati; Planctomycetota; Candidatus Brocadiia; Candidatus Brocadiales; Candidatus Scalinduaceae. The record is from RNAcentral. RNAcentral also lists the same sequence under 1 other name.